Molecule: ribosomal RNA, 494 nt
Filed under: uncultured bacterium
Lineage: Bacteria
Description: partial 16S ribosomal RNA
Rfam family: Bacterial small subunit ribosomal RNA
Source: RNAcentral
GACGAACGCUGGCGGCGCGCUUAACACAUGCAAGUCGAACGGAAAGGCCUGCUUUCCCUUGUGGAUUGCGGGUACUCGAGUGGCGAACGGGUGAGUAACACGUGAGUGAUCUGCCCCCAACUUGGGUAUAAGCCUGGGAAACUGGGUCUAAUUCCCGAUAGUACUGCAGGGUGGUGCCUGUGGUGGAAAACGAUUUUCUAGUGGUUGGGGAUGAGCUCGCGGCCUAUCAGCUUGUUGGUGGGGUAAUGGCCUACCAAGGCGGCGACGGGUAGCCGGCCUGAGAGGGUGGACGGCCACAUUGGGACUGAGAGACGGCCCAGACUCCUACGGGAGGCAGCAGUGGGGAAUAUUGCACAAUGGGCGGAAGCCUGAGGCAGCGACGCCGCGUGGGGGAUGACGGCCUUCGGGUUGUAAACUCCUUUCGACCGCGAGGAAGCCACCUGGUUGGAAGGGUGGUGACGGUAGUGGUAGAAGAAGCACCGGCUAACUACGUG